RNAcentral lists this ribosomal RNA (798 nucleotides) under uncultured Glomeromycotina. Its description in RNAcentral is "SSU rRNA". It matches the Rfam family "Eukaryotic small subunit ribosomal RNA", at positions 314 to 1114 of the family's 1831-position model. Lineage: Eukaryota; Fungi; Glomeromycota. The record is from RNAcentral.
AUCAACUUUCGAUGGUAGGAUAGAGGCCUACCAUGGUGGUAACGGGUAACGGGGUGUUAGGGCACGACACCGGAGAGGGAGCCUGAGAAACGGCUACCACAUCCAAGGAUGGCAGCAGGCGCGCAAAUUACCCAAUCCCGACACGGGGAGGUAGUGACAAUAAAUAACAAUACGGGGUUCUUUCGGAUUUCGUAAUUGGAAUGAGUACAAUUUAAAUCUCUUAACGAGGAACAAUUGGAGGGCAAGUCUGGUGCCAGCAGCCGCGGUAAUUCCAGCUCCAAUAGCGUAUAUUAAAGUUGUUGCAGUUAAAAAGCUCGUAGUUGAAUUUCGGGAUCAAAUUGUCGGUCGUGCCUCGGUACGUACUGGUAUUAUUGGUUCCUCCCUUCUGACGAACCACGAUGUCAUUAAUUUGGUGUCAUGGGAAAUCAGGACUGUUACUUUGAAAAAAUUAGAGUGUUUAAAGCAGGCUCGCGCUUGAAUACAUUAGCAUGGAAUAAUGAAAUAGGACGUUUGAUUCUAUUUUGUUGGUUUCUAGGAUCGACGUAAUGAUUAAUAGGGAUAGUUGGGGGCAUUAGUAUUCAAUUGUCAGAGGUGAAAUUCUUGGAUUUAUUGAAGACUAACUACUGCGAAAGCAUUUGCCAAGGAUGUUUUCAUUAAUCAAGAACGAAAGUUAGGGGAUCGAAGACGAUCAGAUACCGUCGUAGUCUUAACCAUAAACUAUGCCGACUAGGGAUCGGAUGAUGUUAAUUUUUUAAUGACUCAUUCGGCGCCUUACGGGAAACCAAAGUGUUUGGGUUC